UUUUUGUUUCUAUUUUUGUUUCUAUUUUAUUACUGUUUCUAUUAUUAUUAUUGUUUCUAUCAUUAUUAUUGUUUCUAUUUUUGUGUCUAUUUUUGUUUCUAUUUUUGUUUCUAUUUUUGCUUCUAUUUUUGUGUCUAUUUUUGUGUCUAUUUUUGUGUCUAUUUUUGUUUCUAUUUUUGUUUCUAUUUUUGUUUCUAUUUUUGUGUCUAUUUUUGUGUCUAUUUUUGUGUCUAUUUUUGUGUCUAUUUUUUUUCUAUUUUUGUGUCUAUUUUUGUUUCUAUUUUUUUGUUUCUAUUUUAUUAUUGUUUCUAUUUAUAUUUUUGUUUCUAUCAUUAUUAUUGUUUCUAUUUUUGUUUCUAUUUUUGUGUCUAUUUUUGUUUCUAUUUUGUUUCUAUUUUUUGUUUCUAUUUUUUGUUUCUAUUUUUGUGUCUAGUUUUGUUUCUAUUUUUAUCUCUAUUUUUGUGUCUGUUUUUGUGUCUGUUUUUGUGUCUAUUUUUAUGUCUAUUU
Molecule: unclassified non-coding RNA, 507 nt
Filed under: Bombus terrestris (buff-tailed bumblebee)
Lineage: Eukaryota; Metazoa; Arthropoda; Insecta; Hymenoptera; Apidae
Description: misc RNA ENSBTSG00005028642.1
Source: RNAcentral